Molecule: ribosomal RNA, 693 nt
Filed under: uncultured Limnohabitans sp.
Lineage: Bacteria; Pseudomonadati; Pseudomonadota; Betaproteobacteria; Burkholderiales; Comamonadaceae
Description: bacterial SSU rRNA
Rfam family: Bacterial small subunit ribosomal RNA
Source: RNAcentral
AGAGUUUGAUCCUGGCUCAGAUUGAACGCUGGCGGAAUGCUUUACACAUGCAAGUCGAACGGUAGAGGGGGCAACCCCUUGAGAGUGGCGAACGGGUGAGUAAUAUAUCGGAACGUGCCCAGUCGUGGGGGAUAACGUAGCGAAAGUUACGCUAAUACCGCAUACGAUCUAAGGAUGAAAGCGGGGGAUCGCAAGACCUCGCGCGAUUGGAGCGGCCGAUAUCAGAUUAGGUAGUUGGUGGGGUAAAGGCUCACCAAGCCAACGAUCUGUAGCUGGUCUGAGAGGACGACCAGCCACACUGGAACUGAGACACGGUCCAGACUCCUACGGGAGGCAGCAGUGGGGAAUUUUGGACAAUGGACGCAAGUCUGAUCCAGCCAUUCCGCGUGCAGGAUGAAGGCCCUCGGGUUGUAAACUGCUUUUGUACGGAACGAAAAGGUUUCCAUUAAUACUGGGGGCUCAUGACGGUACCGUAAGAAUAAGCACCGGCUAACUACGUGCCAGCAGCCGCGGUAAUACGUAGGGUGCAAGCGUUAAUCGGAAUUACUGGGCGUAAAGCGUGCGCAGGCGGUUAUGUAAGACAGAGGUGAAAUCCCCGGGCUCAACCUGGGAACUGCCUUUGUGACUGCAUAGCUAGAGUACGGUAGAGGGGGAUGGAAUUCCGCGUGUAGCAGUGAAAUGCGUAGAUAUGCG